CCUCGUGUAUCAAAAAACCUUGGUCUCUAGCUAGUUGUUUUGUUUACCUUUUCCGAACGUUUAUCAAAUUUUCCUGCGAGUAUUAUAAAAAGAAAUUUAUAAUUUGGUUCGGUUGCUGGUUCGCGAUAGAUCGAUCGUAUUCACCGAACGUUGGGUCAUGUUUCUUCGCCGAAAACAUACCAACUUGUCAAGAGGUUACGUAUCAGUAGUUCACAGGACUUAAAAGCAGUACUGGAAUAUUCUUUGACGAUGCCAAUCCUACCUAUAAUAAUGGCAGUACCAGCAUUUGCCUUUGAAUCCGCCCUAAUUAACAAAGGGCCAUUGUUUGUUUUUAAACAAAGUUUCCGGAAAGAUCGUUCGAGAGGCCAGUGGUCUAUGGCCUGUGCGAAUUCUGCAAGCAAUCGGACGGUGGUUCCUUCGUGAUUUUUUGCGACGGACGUCAAACUUUUUCCUUCCACUGGAGCGGAGUGCAUCAUGCCAACUGCCAAUUAAUCAAAAACUUCCGGUUUCUGUUACGUGAAUGACAUUGCGGUUUAGUACUCGAAACGUUUUUAAGCUGAAAAGCAAAGGCCGCCUGUGCAACACCUGAUCGUACUGGUACAAAUGCGGCACACAAAAUAAUGGGAACAGCAAACCCAGCCAUUAAAGGAUACCAGGACUUCAAAUGAUCGACAAAGGCCUUGUUCCCCUUGUACCAAAAAUAGUGAACUCUCUGCCAGUGGGCGCACUAAUGGGCGAGCAUCAUAUAUUGUAGUUCUUACUUAGUGCUUCCAUCAGUUUUUUACUGCAUGUUAAAAUAAGUUUCUGAUGUAUUUCGCACAAGCAACUGAAAUGCACAUUUAGCACACUGAUGAACAGAAAACAAUAUGGAAAUCAAUCGUGCUCGUUUGUAUGAAAAUGAACAAAAUCUUCCGAUUUUGUGCAAUAUUGAUUAUCCCACGCGAGGUGGUCUUUUCAAUUAUUUGCUGGUAAAAGAUGGAGAAACAGAUUAUCAACUUCUGGGCCAUAAGCAAUUGUGCGUCGUGUUUAAUCACUACUGGAACCAAUAACAACGCAAAUACCAAGAUAACUAUAGUGGUGGUAUCACAUCUUUUGCCAGCCGUACUGGAGCCCUCCGGAUGAUAAGGAAAUACGAAAAUAGCUGUCACCUAGAGUAAUUGUCGUAAGUUCAACUUAGCUUUAUGGUUUGAUAUUAGAAUAGUUUACCUAGAAUGUUAAGACGCAUCAAAUUAAUUAUCUUCACAUUAUGCUUCUAAAUUAUAGGGCUAAUCUAACUAACUUUAGCACCUUUCACAGAAAAUUGGAUGUCCAUCCUUUUUCAGUUUUGCUGCUAUACUAAAUAUCAUCACCUCAUCAUUGAAUCCAAUAACCAGGGGGCUCAAACGAGCCUCUUGGUGUGGGGGAGUGUGGUGGGCCGCUUUACAAAAAAAACAUAUUUUUAUCCUUUUUUACUUUAUAUAAAAACAAAUAAAAAUUAUAUCAAUGUCCGCCGUUCUGCUCUGUAUAACGAUCAGAU
Long non-coding RNA from Uranotaenia lowii, 1516 nucleotides. RefSeq lists it as uncharacterized. The record is from RefSeq and is a predicted model, not a curated record. NCBI's taxonomy places the organism in Eukaryota, Metazoa, Arthropoda, Insecta, Diptera, Culicidae. The transcript has 4 exons.